Molecule: long non-coding RNA, 2919 nt
Organism: Chinchilla lanigera (long-tailed chinchilla)
Lineage: Eukaryota; Metazoa; Chordata; Mammalia; Rodentia; Chinchillidae
Exons: 3
Source: RefSeq, a predicted model, not a curated record
CUCCCCUCAGCUCUGGGGACAGAGCUAGGGGACCUGGGAGCUCUGACAAGGGUCCUAAGUACCACUAGUCCCCAGGGCAGGAGGGGACCGGAAGGAGGGGAAAGGAGGUGUAGAGCCUUUUCCAGGAAGGGCCUUGGGAGUAGAGCACCAAACUGAGGAAGGGCGGGAGAAGACAGAGCCAGAAAGAGGGACAGAGGGCAGCACAACAGAGGAGCGGAGGAGAAGGGGAGCCUCCCCCUCCCGGUCAUCCCCACACCCAGCACCCAGCCACCAGGUUCCCCGGGAAGCCUCCACGGAAAGGCUGUGCUAAUCGGGCGCUCGUUUAAGCACCAUCACCCACCCCUGUACCUUCACCCCUCCCAAGGGGCCCUCACCCACGGGACGCCAGCCUCCAGGUAGCGAGGAGACCGGAGGAAGGAGGACACAGAAACAGGGCCCUCGGGUCUCCGAUGCAGCCACAUGGAACCACAGCCAGGGGGCAGUAAGGACGGCACUGACAAGCCACCACCUUUUCACGGUCUCCUGGAGACAACCUGAGAGUGCUCUCCCCGCUGGGCAUCUGGCUGUCCAUGAGAUGGGGCCGUCUGGGCCACCAAGGGUGCUGCGCAGAGUCACAGUGGAGCUGGUGCCCCCGUGAGGCUGGCCUUCCCGGUUACACCGCAACAGCAGCUCUCGGCGUGGUGCUGGUUGGGUGGGAAUGGAUGUCCACGUGUCUGUGCAUCCGUCUGUCCUGGAGCUAGGGCUCAGUGGCUCAGCCCAAGUCUUCCCUCUGCUUCCCUCUCCUGGACAUAGGGAAGAGAGGCAUCCUCCCUGCUGUCCCCCAGGUUUGCCACCUGCCCCACCCAGCGGUGUCUGCAUCAGCUACCCUUCAAGGCCUCUACGAAGUCAUCCUUCUGACCUCGGUGCUUGCUCUUCCACCCUGAGGUUCUACGGCGUUCUCACAGCGUAGAGCAGAGGUGUCACACUGCCCCCCAGGGGCUACCCCAGUCACUGCAGGCUGAAGGCCAUCCCUCCCCAGGGAAGAAUCUGGUCAGCACGCUGCAGCCUCAGCUGCUGGGCUGGAUGGUAGAGGUCGAGUCUGAGGCAGAGGGAGCAGGCAGGUGGCAGACUCCAGGGCCACUGGACCCUGGCCAGAAGCUGUGGGGUUCUACUUCCUAACCCCCACCUGGGCCCCUCCUCCAGGCUGUAGUCAGCUCCGAGUUGUCUUCACUGUGUCCCAAGUGGGCCUUCUUUCCCAGGGGACAGCAAAUGGCUAAGGAUAAGAGGUGACCCACCUUUUUUCUGAGCCAAGCUUGUCCUCCCCACCAGAAUCUGUGAGCCAAGUGAGGGACCCUGUCAGAGGCUGCUGGCUCCUCAUUGACCUGAGGAACUCAGACCUGGCACCAGGCCAUGGGAAUAUUGUGGAGGAGAGCCCCCAAGUUCAGCCACUGAGGGGGCAGGACGGUGGUAGGUAUCUGCUGCAUCCAGCACAGCUCUCAAAAAUUCCUGGGGUGAAGGAUGGUAGAAGAUGAAGAAAUAAAGAUAAGAGUUAGAAUAUAGAAAGCCGAGGCCAGAGGGAGCCUCCUCUCCUGAUAAGAGAAAAGAACUGCUCAACCACCGAAGCACGUUUAUUCAUACACUCAGCAGGUUGAUGUCACGUGACACUCCUCUGUUUGCUUGGACUGCCUCAGGUGCCUGGUGUUCUCUGGACUGGAGCAGCCUGUUCAUGUGGCUCACCUCAAGUGCUCUUUAUUCUUGGGACUGACCUUGCUCCAGCCCCACACAUGUGAUUGAUCUCCAGCUUCACCCACUCCCCACAUCUCUUCCUUUCCUGUUUUGUAGUUGCAAGCAAUGGGUGGUCAGUUGAAUUUGGAGGAGCCGUGUUUGGAGGACUCUACAGAGGACCUUAUCACCCUUGAACCCUUUCCAUUCAGACUGAACUUACUCGUUUAGGCUAAAGGUUCCCAGCCCAAGAAGAAUGUCAAGUCCUUGCAUUCAGGAACAUAACUCUCUACUGUCCAUUAAUCCAUAACAGUACAUAGUCAGUUACCAGUACAGCUGGAAACUGUCAGAAGGUGUUAGUGAUUUGAGUUUCUUUUAUAGCUAGCAUAUUACCAUGGCAUUACCUUGUACCUCUUAUAGUUAUACUUUUUAGCUAGAUGUUCAAAACCAAGUGAAGGUGAGACCUGUGUUAAUUAAAAUUAUUUUUUGCUGUCUGUCAAGUUCAGUUAGUUCCCCCCAGGAAUUACCUUGGAACCACACAUAGCACCUUUUAGUUCUCCUGUCAAUGUCAGCCAUCUGGAUGAGCCAUAGGCAUUGCUUGACCAAGUUCCUCUCUGUGAAAGCAGGGGAUAUUUUCUCUCCUGGUGACUCUCCUUAGGCACACUAUACAUCAUUGAUCAUUUUCCUCUGUGAUCCUACAAUCUCCUUGGUCAAGAGUUUGUAUAACCCACCAGAGUUGUAGGAUGUCACUAAAAGUUUCCCUCAUGUUCUGAGUCCUUACUGACCUCUGAGGGCUGGAGCCAAAAUAUUAUCUGUCCUUCUAGUCCAUCUAUCUGUCUAGUUUUUGAUCUCUACACCUCAGUUGUUGAACAUCCAGAAGAGAAGGUUAAUGACAUUACAUUGUAUUGGGAACAGUGAGCUUAAUAUUAUACAAAAUAGCACCAUUAUUUCAUACCAACCACAGGUAUUUUGUGUUUGAGUCCCUGUAGAAUGUUAACAGAAAAGGGUUGUAUAUUUUACACAGAAAAUUAGAAAUCAAAAGCCAUGCAUGAUAGUGUAGCAUCACAGUCAGGAUGUCAUUUUUGUAACACACCUGAAUUUACAUUUUGACAUAAAGUAGCCCUUUUAGUCACUUAUCCCUAUCUAGUACAUAAGGAGCUUUUACCUAACUUGUUGACCUUUAAUGGGAUGUACGUCACAUAAAUUUUGUUAAUAUUA